This 235-nucleotide ribosomal RNA is filed under the name uncultured bacterium. Its description in RNAcentral is "partial 16S ribosomal RNA". It matches the Rfam family "Bacterial small subunit ribosomal RNA", at positions 96 to 334 of the family's 1533-position model. The record is from RNAcentral.
UGGCGGACGGGUGAGUAAUGUCUGGGAAACUGCCCGAUGGAGGGGGAUAACUACUGGAAACGGUAGCUAAUACCGCAUAACGUCGCAAGACCAAAGAGGGGGACCUUCGGGCCUCUUGCCAUCGGAUGUGCCCAUAUGGGAUUAGCUUGUAGGUAAGGUAACGGCUUACCUAGGCGACGAUCCCUAGCUGGUCUGAGAGGAUGACCAGCCACACUGGAACUGAGACACGGUCCAG